CAAGCGUUGUUCGGAAUUACUGGGCGUAAAGGGCUCGUAGGUGGCCAACUAAGUCAGACGUGAAAUCCCUCGGCUUAACCGGGGAACUGCGUCUGAUACUGGAUGGCUUGAGUUUGGGAGAGGGACGCGGAAUUCCAGGUGUAGCGGUGAAAUGCGUAGAUAUCUGGAGGAACACCGGUGGCGAAGGCGGCAUCCUGGACCGGCAUUGACGCUGAGGAGCGAAAGCUAGGGGAGCAAACGGG
This 242-nucleotide ribosomal RNA is filed under the name uncultured bacterium. RNAcentral's name for it is "partial 16S ribosomal RNA". It matches the Rfam family "Bacterial small subunit ribosomal RNA", at positions 535 to 776 of the family's 1533-position model. The record is from RNAcentral.